AUUGAACGCUGGCGGCAGGCCUAACACAUGCAAGUCGAGCGGAUGAAGGGAGCUUGCUCCUGGAUUCAGCGGCGGACGGGUGAGUAAUGCCUAGGAAUCUGCCUGGUAGUGGGGGAUAACGUCCGGAAACGGGCGCUAAUACCGCAUACGUCCUGAGGGAGAAAGUGGGGGAUCUUCGGACCUCACGCUAUCAGAUGAGCCUAGGUCGGAUUAGCUAGUUGGUGGGGUAAAGGCCUACCAAGGCGAGGAUCCGUAACUGGUCUGAGAGGAUGAUCAGUCACACUGGAACUGAGACACGGUCCAGACUCCUACGGGAGGCAGCAGUCGGGAAUAUUGGACAAUGGGCGAAAGCCUGAUCCAGCCAUGCCGCGUGUGUGAAGAAGGUCUUCGGAUUGUAAAGCACUUUAAGUUGGGAGGAAGGGCAGUAAGUUAAUACCUUGCUGUUUUGACGUUACCAACAGAAUAAGCACCGGCUAACUUCGUG
RNAcentral lists this ribosomal RNA (484 nucleotides) under uncultured bacterium. Its description in RNAcentral is "partial 16S ribosomal RNA". It matches the Rfam family "Bacterial small subunit ribosomal RNA", at positions 30 to 507 of the family's 1533-position model. The record is from RNAcentral.